UUCCGAUUCUGUGUCUCCCUCUCUCUCUGCCCCUCCCCCGUUCAUGCUCUGUCUCUCUCUGUCCCAAAAAUAAAUAAAAACGUUGGGAAAAAAAAUUAAAAAAAAAUAUCAUGUCCAUUGAUUUAUAAAGAGGGGUAACAUUAAAUAUUUGGAUUUCAUAUUACAAAAAAUGAAUAUUCUUCAUAACAAUAAAAACAACGCAAGAUGUGUAAAGAAAAAGUUCAUGGUCUCCCUGCCCUCCUUCCUCUCACUGACCCUCAAAGCCAACAGACUGGGUUUGAGCCUUCCAUGCCUUUCACUGGCUCAUACAAGCAGUUACAUACAAGCAUUUACAUACAGACAUUUACAUACAGCAUUUACAUACAUGCAUUUACAUACAAGCAUUUACAUAGAAGCAUUUACACACAUGAAGGAGGUUGCUUGCUUGCUUCUGCCAGAGUGGAAUUAUACCAUUCCUAUGAUUCCUCAAUUCACUUUUGUUGCUUAAUUAUUAAUCAUGACCAUCAUAUAAGUCAGUAGAUGCAACUCUAACCAUAUUUGUCCUAGUUUCUUUAGUGUAAUUUUACAAAAAUGGGAUGACUCACAUGAAUUUUUGAUGCAGUCUUUUUCUUUUCUUGUGUAAACCUUUCUAGCUUUUCCUCUACCGCCCUAUCAAGUUUUAACUUUUUAUUGGUAUAUUGUAUUAUAUGACUAGCAGACCUAUCACAUGGAUAUUUUUUUCUUUUCUAUAUGUGGAAACUAUAUCGCUAAUGAUUUGAGAUGAGAUAGAAGCUUUCAGUGUUUCCGAGCCAAGGAAGAUGAAAGGGUGAAGUUGUGAUCAUACAUUAUUCUGGAGAUCUCUACUGAACGUGAACAUGGGCAGCUGAAUGCAGAGGGCUGAUGAGGCUUCAUCCCUUAGGAGUUCCCUCUCCUGAAAGCUUCUUUUGAGAAAGCCACCUGUUUCCACCAUUGGUCACCAAAGCAAAUUUACAUAACAGCCUCAAGAUCAUUACAGGCCCGCAAAGUUCCCGGAAAGGGAAAAGUCCGCGGGUGAGGAAUGCUCUCACACUUACUGUCGCCGCAGUUCUCCUCAUCAGAGCCGUCCCUGCAGUCCUCGUCUCCGUCACACUGGAAAGAGCUAGGGAUACACUGUCCGCUCCUGCACUCCAUCAGACCCUGGCUGUGACAAGCUGCGGAGGCCAGAAUAAUAUUCGCUGCACUGAUUUGUACUUCUGUCUGCGGAUCGUAGACAGGAUUCCCGCUUAUCUGGCAUUACCAAGAAAUGAAACGUUCUAUCUGCAUGUUCCACGUAAAUGAA
Molecule: long non-coding RNA, 1297 nt
Organism: Felis catus (domestic cat)
Lineage: Eukaryota; Metazoa; Chordata; Mammalia; Carnivora; Felidae
Exons: 4
Source: RefSeq, a predicted model, not a curated record